AGAAAAUUCUGUUAGACUCCUGUUAGCUGCUCUAGCACUGUUCGACUUUAGCAGUUGUCUUCCCACUGCCGAUAGCUGACUGCUAUAUAACAUGAACGCUUAAUUAAAAAAUCAACUCAGUAUUUUUAAUUUUUUGAGUACUUUAAGGUUAAUAACGAAUUCAUUGGAAAAUAUAAACAAAAUAAUAACUUAA
Molecule: long non-coding RNA, 193 nt
Organism: Drosophila mojavensis
Lineage: Eukaryota; Metazoa; Arthropoda; Insecta; Diptera; Drosophilidae
Exons: 2
Source: RefSeq, a predicted model, not a curated record